CUACGGGGUGCUGCAGUGGGGAAUAUUGGACAAUGGGGGAAACCCUGAUCCAGCAAUGCCGCGUGUGUGAAGAAGGCCUGCGGGUUGUAAAGCACUUUCGGUUGGGAGGACUGCUUCUAGCACUAAUAUUGUUGGAAGUUGACGUUACCUUCAGAAGAAGCACCGGCUGAACUCCGUGCCAGCAGCCGCGGUAAUACGGAGGGUGCAAGCGUGAAUCGGAAUUACUGGGCGUAAAGCGCGCGUAGGCGGCUAGAUCAGUCGGGUGUGAAAGCCCCGGGCUUAACCUGGGAACUGCAUCCGAUACUGUCUAGCUUGAGUACAGGAGAGGAGAGUGGAAUUCCACAUGUAGCGGUGAAAUGCGUAGAUAUGUGGAGGAACACCAAUGGCGAAGGCAGCUCUCUGGCCUGAUACUGACGCUGAGGUGCGAAAGCGUGGGGAGCAAACAGGAUUAGAUACCCCUGUAGUC
This 466-nucleotide ribosomal RNA is filed under the name uncultured bacterium. Its description in RNAcentral is "partial 16S ribosomal RNA". It matches the Rfam family "Bacterial small subunit ribosomal RNA", at positions 339 to 795 of the family's 1533-position model. The record is from RNAcentral.